GUACACUCCUGCGGGAGGCAGCAGUGGGGAAUAUUGCACAAUGGGCGCAAGCCUGAUGCAGCCAUGCCGCGUGUAUGAAGAAGGCCUUCGGGUUGUAAAGUACUUUCAGCGGGGAGGAAGGCGAUAAGGUUAAUAACCUUGUUGAUUGACGUUACCCGCAGAAGAAGCACCGGCUAACUCCGUGCCAGCAGCCGCGGUAAUACGGAGGGUGCAAGCGUUAAUCGGAAUUACUGGGCGUAAAGCGCACGCAGGCGGUCUGUCAAGUCGGAUGUGAAAUCCCCGGGCUCAACCUGGGAACUGCAUUCGAAACUGGCAGGCUAGAGUCUUGUAGAGGGGGGUAGAAUUCCAGGUGUAGCGGUGAAAUGCGUAGAGAUCUGGAGGAAUACCGGUGGCGAAGGCGGCCCCCUGGACAAAGACUGACGCUCAGGUGCGAAAGCGUGGGGAGCAAACAGGAUUAGAUACCCCUGAGUCCC
RNAcentral lists this ribosomal RNA (473 nucleotides) under uncultured organism. RNAcentral describes it as "partial 16S ribosomal RNA". It matches the Rfam family "Bacterial small subunit ribosomal RNA", at positions 331 to 797 of the family's 1533-position model. The record is from RNAcentral.